GCUUUUUGGCGGCACCAUCCAAACGUUCUCUCUCUCCCUCUCCCUCUCCCUCUCUCUCGCGACACUUCAAAUACUUCCCAAAACCCCUUUACAGAUCGAGAGAGAAAGAUAAAGAGAGAGAGAGAGAUGGGAGCCUUCUACAACGAAGAGUUCUCGCUCUUGCAGCAGCGCGUCAAUUUCCACCCUCUUCAAGAUCGACGGUCCUCGAAGCAAAUCCACGACAACGUCCAUGGAAACAUCUAUCUCGACCAGCUCUGUCUAAAGUUUGUAGACACUGAACAAUUUCAGAGGCUUCGUGAUCUAAAGCAACUGGGUUUUGCGCAUUUGGUUUAUCCAGGAGCUGUACAUUCUCGGUUCGAACAUUCCCUAGGGGUGUAUUGGCUUGCUGGUGAUGCUGUUCACAAACUUCAGAUGUACCAAGGUUCUGAGCUCAAUAUUGAUGGUUUUGAUGCACAAACGGUGAAACUUGCAGGACUAUUACAUGAUGUAGGCCAUGGGCCUUUCAGCCACCUCUUUGAACGCGAGUUUCUUCCGCAGGUUUUUACGGGAUCCAAAUGGUCUCAUGAGCAAAUGUCAGUGAAGAUGGUCGACUACAUUGUUGAUGAGCACUGUAUUGACGUCGAUUCCGACAAACUUAAAAGAGUGAAAGAAAUGAUACUUGCCAGCCAUGAUAUCUCAGUGGGCAAUGCCACAAAAGAGAAGCAUUUCUUGUAUGAUAUUGUUGCAAAUGGUCGAACUGGAAUAGAUGUUGACAAGUUUGACUAUAUUGAACGAGAUUGCAGAGCUUGUGGCCUUGGUUGCAAUUUUGAAUUUCAGAGGUUAAUGGAAUGCAUGCGGGUGAUGGAUGAUGAAAUAUGCUAUCGUGCCAAGGAGUAUCUUACUAUCUACAAACUGUUUACCACCCGUGCUGAUCUCUAUCGAACAGUAUAUACGCAUGCAAAAGUAAAGGCAAUGGAGCUCAUGUUUGUAGAUGCACUUCUAAAAGCAAACAGUUUUCUGGAAAUUUCCUCUCACAUUCACGAUCCAGCUGAAUACUGGAAGUUAGAUGAUACGAUAUUAAAAACUAUUGAAACAGCUCCUAAUGAAGAGUUAAGGGAAUCCAGGGAUUUAAUCUUACGUAUUCGCCGGAGGGAUUUGUACCAGUUCUGUAACGAGUACACUGUUCCAAAGGAUAAACUAGAGCACUUCAAAGACAUCACGCCACAGGAUAUUGUUUGCUCCCAGAAAACUACAGGAUUCACACUAAAGGAAGAGGAUGUAGCUGUGAGCAAUGUCAAGAUUGAUUUGACCCGUGGAAAGGAUAACCCGCUUGAGAGGUCUUUGCACUUUCAGAACCAUGCUAUAUAAACCUGUUUCAUUCCAGUUGUUGCCAUCUUGUGGGAAAGAAAUAAAUUAUGUACUGUUGGCUGUAGCUUCCAAUCUAGUGCGAAAGCGCGAAAGCCAAAGUAUUGUGUUGUGGGAGUUUUCGAGCUCCACAUGCACCUUUACAGAUGGCACACAUGCCAACAGCCAGGGCCCUGAGAUGCCUGUGCAUGAGGCGACCCACCUUGUGGAUGUCCUGGAACAAAAUCAGUAUGAUCCACUCAUCGGUGAACCACCCUGCAUUGGAACAAUGGCGAGUUAAAGAAAAUGCCAAUGGGCUAUGUUCAAUGUACAUGUAUGGUCCGCAUGAGUGGAUUGGCCUGAUUUCUCCACCAAAGUCUUCUCAAUGGAUUACGAUAGUGCAGAGAAAUUUAACAUACAAGAUGAUCGCAUCAGUCACUUGCUUCCUUCAAAUUUUCAAGACCGAAUCGUCAGGGUGUACUCCAAAAAGCCUGAAUUG
RNA transcript from Magnolia sinica, 1822 nucleotides. RefSeq lists it as uncharacterized. The record is from RefSeq and is a predicted model, not a curated record. The transcript has 18 exons. Lineage: Eukaryota; Viridiplantae; Streptophyta; Magnoliopsida; Magnoliales; Magnoliaceae.